GAUGAACGCUGGCGGCGUGCCUAAUACAUGCAAGUCGAGCGAACAGAUGAGGAGCUUGCUCCUCUGACGUUAGCGGCGGACGGGUGAGUAACACGUGGAUAACCUACCUAUAAGCCUGGGAUAACUUCGGGAAACCGGAGCUAAUACCGGAUAAUAUAUUGAACCGCAUGGUUCAAUAGUGAAAGACGGUUUUGCUGUCACUUAUAGAUGGAUCCGCGCCGCAUUAGCUAGUUGGUAAGGUAACGGCUUACCAAGGCAACGAUGCGUAGCCGAUCUGAGAGGGUGAUCGGCCACACUGGAACUGAGACACGGUCCAGACUCCUACGGGAGGCAGCAGUAGGGAAUCUUCCGCAAUGGGCGAAAGCCUGACGGAGCAACGCCGCGUGAGGGAUGAAGGUCUUCGGAUCGUAAAACUCUGUUAUUAGGGAAGAACAAAUGUGUAAGUAACUAUGCACGUCUUGACGGUACCUAAUCAGAAAGCCACGGCUAACUACGUG
RNAcentral lists this ribosomal RNA (497 nucleotides) under uncultured bacterium. RNAcentral's name for it is "partial 16S ribosomal RNA". It matches the Rfam family "Bacterial small subunit ribosomal RNA", at positions 28 to 507 of the family's 1533-position model. The record is from RNAcentral.